RNAcentral lists this ribosomal RNA (754 nucleotides) under Methanomethylovorans sp. enrichment culture. RNAcentral describes it as "bacterial SSU rRNA". It matches the Rfam family "Archaeal small subunit ribosomal RNA", at positions 102 to 856 of the family's 1478-position model. Lineage: Archaea; Methanobacteriati; Methanobacteriota; Methanomicrobia; Methanosarcinales; Methanosarcinaceae. The record is from RNAcentral.
GGAUAACCUGCCCUUUAGGACUGGCAUAACCCCGGGAAACUGGGGAUAAUUCCGGAUAGUUCAUGGUAGCUGGAAUGCUCCAUGAUCGAAAGCUAUUGCGCCUAAGGAUGGGUCUGCGGUCUAUCAGGUAGUAGUGGGUGUAAUGUACCUACUAGCCGACGACGGAUACGGGUUGUGGGAGCAAGAGCCCGGAGAUGGAUUCUGAGACAUGAAUCCAGGCCCUACGGGGCGCAGCAGGCGCGAAAACUUUACAAUGCGGGAAACCGCGAUAAGGGGACACCGAGUGCCAGCAUCUUAUGUUGGCUGUCCGCAUGUAUAAAUCACAUGUGUUAGCAAGGGCCGGGCAAGACCGGUGCCAGCCGCCGCGGUAACACCGGCGGCCCGAGUGGUGGCCACUAUUAUUGGGUCUAAAGGGUCCGUAGCCGGUUUGGUCAGUCUUCCGGGAAAUCUGACGGCUUAACCGUUAGGCUUUCGGGGGAUACUACCAGGCUUGGGACCGGGAGAGGUAAGAGGUACUACGGGGGUAGGAGUGAAAUCUUGUAAUCCUCGUGGGACCACCAGUGGCGAAGGCGUCUUACCAGAACGGGUCCGACGGUGAGGGACGAAAGCUGGGGGCACGAACCGGAUUAGAUACCCGGGUAGUCCCAGCCGUAAACUAUGCUCGCUAGGUGUCAGGGACGGUGCGACCGUUUCUGGUGCCGCAGGGAAGCCGUGAAGCGAGCCACCUGGGAAGUACGGUCGCAAGGCUGAAACU